GAUGAACGCUAGCGGCAGGCUUAAUACAUGCAAGUCGAGGGGCAUCAAGGUACACGAAAGUGUAUUGUUGGCGACCGGCGGACGGGUGAGUAAUAGGUAGGUAACCUACCUCAUACUGAGGCAUAGCUGGGAGAAAUUCCAGGUAAUUCCUCAUGAGGUUAUAUGACACAUGUGAUAUAAUCAAAGGUAUCGCAAGGUACUGGUAUGAGAUGGGCUUACUGACCAUUAGCUAGUUGGUGAGAUAAGAGCUCACCAAGGCGAAGAUGGUUAGGGGUUUUGAGAGAGAGAUCCCCCACAUUGGAACUGAGAUACGGUCCAGACUCCUACGGGAGGCAGCAGUAGGGAAUAUUGGGCAAUGGGCGGAAGCCUGACCCAGCCAUGCCGCGUGAAGGAGACGGCCUUAGGGUUGUAAACUUCUUUACUAUGCGACUAACUAGAUUUACGAGAUAAUUCUAUAGAAUGUAGCAUAGCAAAAGCACC
RNAcentral lists this ribosomal RNA (480 nucleotides) under uncultured bacterium. RNAcentral describes it as "bacterial SSU rRNA". It matches the Rfam family "Bacterial small subunit ribosomal RNA", at positions 28 to 494 of the family's 1533-position model. The record is from RNAcentral.